RNAcentral lists this ribosomal RNA (637 nucleotides) under uncultured Lachnospiraceae bacterium. Its description in RNAcentral is "bacterial SSU rRNA". It matches the Rfam family "Bacterial small subunit ribosomal RNA", at positions 70 to 719 of the family's 1533-position model. The record is from RNAcentral. Lineage: Bacteria; Bacillati; Bacillota; Clostridia; Lachnospirales; Lachnospiraceae.
UGAUUCUUCGGAUGAAGACUUUUGUGACUGAGCGGCGGACGGGUGAGUAACGCGUGGGUAACCUGCCUCAUACAGGGGGACAACAGUUAGAAAUGACUGCUAAUACCGCAUAAGACCACAGGGUCGCAUGACCCGGUGGUAAAAACUCCGGUGGUAUGAGAUGGACCCGCGUCUGAUUAGCUAGUUGGUGGGGUAACGGCUCACCAAGGCGACGAUCAGUAGCCGACCUGAGAGGGUGACCGGCCACAUUGGGACUGAGACACGGCCCAAACUCCUACGGGAGGCAGCAGUGGGGAAUAUUGCACAAUGGGGGAAACCCUGAUGCAGCGACGCCGCGUGAAGGAUGAAGUAUUUCGGUAUGUAAACUUCUAUCAGCAGGGAAGAAAAUGACGGUACCUGACUAAGAAGCCCCGGCUAACUACGUGCCAGCAGCCGCGGUAAUACGUAGGGGGCAAGCGUUAUCCGGAUUUACUGGGUGUAAAGGGAGCGUAGACGGCAUGGCAAGUCUGAAGUGAAAGCCCGGGGCUCAACCCCGGGACUGCUUUGGAAACUGUCAGGCUAGAGUGCUGGAGAGGUAAGUGGAAUUCCUAGUGUAGCGGUGAAAUGCGUAGAUAUUAGGAGGAACACCAGUGGCGAA